This 253-nucleotide ribosomal RNA is filed under the name uncultured bacterium. RNAcentral describes it as "partial 16S ribosomal RNA". It matches the Rfam family "Bacterial small subunit ribosomal RNA", at positions 524 to 776 of the family's 1533-position model. The record is from RNAcentral.
UACGAAGGGGGCUAGCGUUGCUCGGAAUCACUGGGCGUAAAGGGUGCGUAGGCGGGUCUUUAAGUCAGGGGUGAAAUCCUGGAGCUCAACCCCAGAACUGCCUUUGAUACUGAAGAUCUUGAGUUCGGGAGAGGUGAGUGGAACUGCGAGUGUAGAGGUGAAAUUCGUAGAUAUUCGGAAGAACACCAGUGGCGAAGGCGGCUCACUGGUCCGGUACUGACGCUGAGGUGCGAAAGCGUGGGGAGCAAACAGG